GGAAAAUGUGAGAUUUAAUGCAUGAACAUGUACACACACAUUUUAAACAUGUUGAUGCACCUAUGUGAACAACCGUCUUACACACAAACAUAUAGUACACACUGAGAUAAUGGGCAGUCUUUCCCCGGGUCCGGACCUCCCGGAGAGGGGACAAUGUACUCAAGGUGAUCAUGCACUUUCCUAAGGGGACCUGUUCUCCAGGCCAGACUAGCACACUACAGGUUUUAACUGGGGAUGGAUGACCAUAUCACUAACAGCUGAUUCACUACAUGAGGUGUCUUAAGAGCAAUAGAUGUCAUUGAACUUGAUUCAAACACUGAAAGCAGUCUUCUUAAGAGUCCACAAUACUUAAAACAUGUCCAAAUGUAAUCUACAGAUAUUAUAAAUAUGUAAUCUAACUGCAAAUUCUUAUUUGUUUGUGUAGUGGACCCUGUGAAUGUGUGUUUAGAUGCAGGUUUGUGGAUGUGUUGAUAUCAACCUGAGCUGUAUGUGUGUGUCUGAGUGAGUGUGUGUGUGUUUAGAUGCAGGUUUGUGGAUAUGUUGAUAUCAACCUGGGCCUGUAUGUGUGUCUGAGUGAGUGUGUGUUUAGAUGCAGGUUUGUGGAUAUGUUGAUAUCAACCUGAGCCUGUAUGUGUGUGUCUGAGUGAGUGUGUGUUUAGAUGCAGGUUUGUGAAUGUGUUGAUAUCAACCUGGGCCUGUAUGUGUGUGUCUGAGUGGGUGUGUGGUGGUUGCUGUGUCAGUGAAUGAUAUUCCAAUCACACUUCAAUAUAGAGAACCAACUCAUUAAUCUCUCUAUGCAUCCCUCUACAAUGCAUUCCAAUGAGGCCACACAUUUCUCCAUGCAUGGACUGAGUGAGGCAAACUAAUUUCAAACUUCUCUCCUCUCUCCCUGCCACUCUCAGCCAAUCGUAAUCAAGACAGGUAUUUUUUUGAAUAAGGGUCGUGGCAAUGAUGCACUUGAUUGACUCCUGGUAAUAGAGGUUAUCAUUUUAAAGGAGUC
Long non-coding RNA from Oncorhynchus tshawytscha (Chinook salmon), 1000 nucleotides. The record is from Ensembl. Lineage: Eukaryota; Metazoa; Chordata; Actinopteri; Salmoniformes; Salmonidae.